Molecule: ribosomal RNA, 393 nt
Filed under: Triticum aestivum (bread wheat)
Lineage: Eukaryota; Viridiplantae; Streptophyta; Magnoliopsida; Poales; Poaceae
Description: partial small subunit ribosomal RNA
Source: RNAcentral
AUGUCUACAUCGCCAGGCUACGUUGCAGUUCCUCGUCGUUUGGUGAUCUUUGAUGGUACCAACUACAUCGAGUUCGUCGGCUUCAUGCGCAUUCAUAUGCGUGGCAUUCGUCUCUGGGGCGUUCUUUCUCGCGAGGUCGCCUGUCCACGACGCCCAGUUCCUCUUGUGGCCCCUACUCCGCCGACGCCAUCGGUUCUUGCUGCAGAUGCUAAUCAGGCUGCGAAGGAUGCGGCUAAGCUUGCUGAUGACGCUGUUGUUCGUGCUUAUGAUGAGCAGGGUUUGGUUUAUGAGGACGCUCUUCACACUUAUCAUGAGGCUCUGUCUACUUACACUCGGUGGCUUGAUGAUGAUGCUCAUGCCGCCGCUGUUCUCAGUGCUAGUGUUCUGCCUUAG